AGUGACCGGCCGGGCAUCCAUGUGCCCGGCCCGCAAGUGGAGGCUCCGCGCUCCCACCUGAUCGGCCUUGCGGCCGGCAGGUCUUCGGUCAGGCUGCGCCCCGCGAUGAGCCGCGGUGGUGCUCCCGGUCUGUGGAGCCCCGCCUGCGUGCUGCCCGGGGCGUUUUUU
Molecule: non-coding RNA, 168 nt
Rfam family: Streptomyces RNA 1601
About the family: Identified by deep sequencing of transcriptome at the end of exponential growth phase.